AUGGCCUGGGCCCCUCUCCUCCUCACCCUCCUGACUCACUGCACAGGAUCCUGGGCCGAGCCUGUGCUGACUCAGCCAUCCUCAGUGUUGGGGGCCCCGGGCGAGAGGGUCACCAUCUCCUGCACUGACAGCAGCUCCAAAAUUGGGAGUAACUAUGUGUAUUGGUACCAGCAGCUCCCGGGAAAGGCCCCCAAAUGCAUCAUUUAUGAUAAUAGCAACCGACUCUCAGGGGUCCCUGAUCGAUUCUCUGGCUCCAGGUCUGGCAGCUCAGCCACCCUGACCAUCACGGCGCUGCAGGUUGAGGAUGACGCUGAAUAUUACUGUUCAGGGUGGGACAGCAGUAUCAGCGGACCCACAGUGCUGCAGGCCUGUGAGGAACUGAGACAAAAACCUGCUGUCCCUCUUGAAAUGGGGCUCCCCUAG
Molecule: non-coding RNA, 423 nt
Organism: Myotis lucifugus (little brown bat)
Lineage: Eukaryota; Metazoa; Chordata; Mammalia; Chiroptera; Vespertilionidae
Source: the annotation of a RefSeq genome assembly